This 482-nucleotide ribosomal RNA is filed under the name uncultured bacterium. RNAcentral describes it as "bacterial SSU rRNA". It matches the Rfam family "Bacterial small subunit ribosomal RNA", at positions 30 to 507 of the family's 1533-position model. The record is from RNAcentral.
UUGAACGCUGGCGGCAUGCCUUACACAUGCAAGUCGAACGGCAGCACGGGAGCAAUCCUGGUGGCGAGUGGCGAACGGGUGAGUAAUAUAUCGGAACGUGCCCGGUCGUGGGGGAUAACGUAGCGAAAGCUACGCUAAUACCGCAUACGAUCUAUGGAUGAAAGCGGGGGAUCGCAAGACCUCGCGCGAUUGGAGCGGCCGAUAUCAGAUUAGGUAGUUGGUGAGGUAAAGGCUCACCAAGCCGACGAUCGGUAGCUGGUCUGAGAGGACGACCAGCCACACUGGGACUGAGACACGGCCCAGACUCCUACGGGAGGCAGCAGUGGGGAAUUUUGGACAAUGGGCGCAAGCCUGAUCCAGCAAUGCCGCGUGCAGGAUGAAGGCCUUCGGGUUGUAAACUGCUUUGUACGGAACGAAACGGUGAGCUCUAAUACAGUUUGCUAAUGACGGUACCGUAAGAAUAAGCACCGGCUAACUACGUG